AAUUUGAAAUCUGGUACCUUUGGUGCCCGAGUUGUAAUUUGGAGAGUACCACUUUGGGACUGUACUUUGCCUAUGUUCCUUGGAACAGGACGUCAUGGAGGGUGAGAAUCCCGUGUGGCGAGGGUGUCAGUUCUUUGUAAAGGGUGCUCGAAGAGUCGAGUUGUUUGGGAAUGCAGCUCUAAGUGGGUGGUAAAUUCCAUCUAAAGCUAAAUACAGGCGAGAGACCGAUAGCGAACAAGUACAGUGAUGGAAAGAUGAAAAGAACUUUGAAAAGAGAGUGAAAAAGUACGUGAAAUUGUUGAAAGGGAAGGGCAUUGAUCAGACAUGGUGUUUUGCGCCCCUUGCCUCUCGUGGGCUUGGGACUCUCGCAGCUCACUGGGCCAGCAUCGGUUUUGGCGGCCGGAAAAAACCUAGGGAAUGUGGCUCUGCGCCUCGGUGUAGAGUGUAUAGCCCUGGGGAAUACGGCCAGCCGGGACCGAGGACUGCGAUACUUGUUAUCUAGGAUGCUG
RNAcentral lists this ribosomal RNA (509 nucleotides) under Nakaseomyces glabratus. Its description in RNAcentral is "eukaryotic LSU rRNA". It matches the Rfam family "Eukaryotic large subunit ribosomal RNA", at positions 112 to 628 of the family's 3401-position model. Lineage: Eukaryota; Fungi; Ascomycota; Saccharomycetes; Saccharomycetales; Saccharomycetaceae. The record is from RNAcentral.